This 166-nucleotide ribosomal RNA is filed under the name uncultured bacterium. Its description in RNAcentral is "partial 16S ribosomal RNA". It matches the Rfam family "Bacterial small subunit ribosomal RNA", at positions 509 to 674 of the family's 1533-position model. The record is from RNAcentral.
CAGCAGCCGCGGUAAACCGUAGGAGUCAAGCGUUAUCCGAAUUUACUGGGCGUAAAGCGCGUGCAGGCGGUGUGGUAAGUUGGAUGUGAAAGCUCCCGGCUCAACUGGGAGAGGCCAUUCAAUACUGCCAGACUAGAGGACGGUAGAGGAAAGUGGAAUUCCCGGU